Molecule: ribosomal RNA, 470 nt
Filed under: Salmonella enterica subsp. enterica serovar Bredeney
Lineage: Bacteria; Pseudomonadati; Pseudomonadota; Gammaproteobacteria; Enterobacterales; Enterobacteriaceae
Description: bacterial SSU rRNA
Rfam family: Bacterial small subunit ribosomal RNA
Source: RNAcentral
ACCUUCGGGCCUCUUGCCAUCAGAUGUGCCCAGAUGGGAUUAGCUUGUUGGUGAGGUAACGGCUCACCAAGGCGACGAUCCCUAGCUGGUCUGAGAGGAUGACCAGCCACACUGGAACUGAGACACGGUCCAGACUCCUACGGGAGGCAGCAGUGGGGAAUAUUGCACAAUGGGCGCAAGCCUGAUGCAGCCAUGCCGCGUGUAUGAAGAAGGCCUUCGGGUUGUAAAGUACUUUCAGCGGGGAGGAAGGUGUUGUGGUUAAUAACCGCAGCAAUUGACGUUACCCGCAGAAGAAGCACCGGCUAACUCCGUGCCAGCAGCCGCGGUAAUACGGAGGGUGCAAGCGUUAAUCGGAAUUACUGGGCGUAAAGCGCACGCAGGCGGUCUGUCAAGUCGGAUGUGAAAUCCCCGGGCUCAACCUGGGAACUGCAUUCGAAACUGGCAGGCUUGAGUCUUGUAGAGGGGGGUAG